RNAcentral lists this ribosomal RNA (318 nucleotides) under uncultured Eubacteriales bacterium. RNAcentral describes it as "bacterial SSU rRNA". It matches the Rfam family "Bacterial small subunit ribosomal RNA", at positions 1061 to 1382 of the family's 1533-position model. The record is from RNAcentral. Lineage: Bacteria; Bacillati; Bacillota; Clostridia; Eubacteriales.
CGUGUCGUGAGAUGUGGUUAAGUCCGCAACGAGCGCAACCCUUGUCUUUAGUUGUCCAUCAUUAAGUUGGGCACUCUAAAGAGACUGCCGAUGACAAAUCGGAGGAAGGUGGGGAUGACGUCAAAUCAUCAUGCCCUUUAUGUCCUGGGCUACACACGUGCUACAAUGGUCGGUACAACGAGAAGCAAGUCAGCGAUGGCAAGCAAAUCUCUAAAAGCCGAUCCCAGUUCGGAUUGCAGGCUGCAACUCGCCUGCAUGAAGUCGGAGUUGCUAGUAAUCGCGGAUCAGAAUGCCGCGGUGAAUGCGUUCCCGGGUCUU